RNAcentral lists this ribosomal RNA (468 nucleotides) under uncultured bacterium. RNAcentral's name for it is "partial 16S ribosomal RNA". It matches the Rfam family "Bacterial small subunit ribosomal RNA", at positions 28 to 507 of the family's 1533-position model. The record is from RNAcentral.
GACGAACGCUGGCGGCGUGCUUAACACAUGCAAGUCGAACGGAAAGGCCCUGCUUUUGUGGGGUGCUCGAGUGGCGAACGGGUGAGUAACACGUGAGUAACCUGCCCUUGACUUUGGGAUAACUUCAGGAAACUGGGGCUAAUACCGGAUAGGAGCUCCUGCUGCAUGGUGGGGGUUGGAAAGUUUCGGCGGUUGGGGCUGGACUCGCGGCUUAUCAGCUUGUUGGUGGGGUAGUGGCUUACCAAGGCUUUGACGGGUAGCCGGCCUGAGAGGGUGACCGGGCACAUUGGGACUGAGAUACGGACCAGACUCCUACGGGAGGCAGCAGGGGGGAAUAUUGCACAAUGGGCGGGAGCCUGAUGCGGCAGCGCCGCGUGCGGGAUGACGGCCUUCGGGUUGUAAACCGCUUUCGCCUGUGACGAAGCGUGAGUGACGGUAAUGGGUAAAGAAGCACCGGCUAACUACGUG